Trichonephila inaurata madagascariensis is the source of this 72-nucleotide non-coding RNA. The record is from the annotation of a GenBank genome assembly. NCBI's taxonomy places the organism in Eukaryota, Metazoa, Arthropoda, Arachnida, Araneae, Nephilidae.
CGGGGUAUAGCUGAGUGAUAGAGCAUUCAACUGCAGAUCGAGAGGUCUCCGGUUCAAACGCGGGUGCCCCUU